Non-coding RNA from Sistotremastrum niveocremeum HHB9708, 395 nucleotides. It matches the Rfam family "RNase MRP". From Rfam's summary of the family: RNase MRP is an enzymatically active ribonucleoprotein with two distinct roles in eukaryotes. In mitochondria it plays a direct role in the initiation of mitochondrial DNA replication. Lineage: Eukaryota; Fungi; Basidiomycota; Agaricomycetes; Sistotremastrales; Sistotremastraceae. The record is from Rfam.
GCACCGUACUAAGAAUCGCAUUCGCAGUACACGUACUGGGAGACUCGCUCUCCUUCUCUUCACUGUGGGGAAAGUCCCCGGAGACGCAGAGCAUGACCUGUAGCCCUUAGGGAAAGCAACCGUUUCUAAACUGACGGUAUAGCUACCUGGUUGGGAAUGGAUACUUUGCGCCACCUUUCUGAAAGGAACUGCUCGCCAUUCGUUCACUCUGCGGUGUGCAUCACUCUAUCAUUCUCUUGCAGAAAGUCUCUUCAUAGCGAAGAUAUGAGCUCGAGGAGACCGGAGGAUGCUAGAUGAUGCCGUACCAGCCUGUUGCUCAUAGUCGAAAGUUAUGCGAUUGCAGAUUGUCUGCUUGCAGCAGUCUGUAACACAAUGGGGCUCACUCUUGUACGGUG